CUUCCUCUUUCCCUCCUAGGUAUAACUUACUACUUGGGGAUGAGGGGGAUCAAAUGUAGUCAGAACUGGAAGAGAGCUUAAAGAAGAUGAUUUGUUUAACCUGUGUCUUUUUUUUCACUUGAGAAAACAGAUCCUCCUUAAGUUGGCUGCACUAGUGAAGCUUAUUCAGUGAGCCAGGGGCAGUGCCAGGAUCUGAAGCCAGAGCUGCAGGCAAUGCCCAGGAGUAGGCAAGACUUGAUAGAAAAGCCUAAUCUCACCCAGAGAAGUUGAGUGUUAGCAUUAUGAGGCAUAGUUCUAAAUGGAAACUCAUCAUGAGAACCGAAUAUAUACAUAUUGUAAAACCAAAUGACAAGCUAUCAUUCAUGGAAGAUACUAGUAUUUAUUAGGUUCUAACUACAUGCAAAAUGUUGUCCUAUAGGCUUCACACAUAAUACUUCAUUUCUUCUGACAUUUUGAUAAAAUAGGUACUGUUAUCUCCUUUUACAGGUAAGGAAACUGAGGUACACAAGGAUGAACUUUUGCAAGGCUACACAUCUAGUUAAUGGUGAAGCUAACGUUCAGACCCAACUGGUUCAGCUCUAGACUUUGUCUCAGUUACUGAACUGAACUCUCUGUGCACUUACCAUGUGUCAUACCAGCUCUCAGUACAUAGUGUCCCAAAAGAUUGGGCAUGCUCUUUCUUUCAGAGACAAUUAGGAAAAAAGUAAACAAAUGGAGCAGGAUUUGGGCAUAACAGCAUGCUCCUCCCAUCCCCCAAAUCCCAGGAGUGUCACUGAGGUCAGUGCCAGUUAACUUAGUGCUCUUCAACUUCACAGCUACCCUUCUUUGCCGUAAAUUGUGACAUUAGAGCUGAAAUCUGUAAACGUCUUUAUGGUCAGUUGGCACAAUGUUUAGCUUUGUCAAUAGAAGGUGCUAGGGGAACACUGCAGAAAGAAAGGGGCUCCUUUUCUUGGUUCCAGUACUUUCCUGCUUGCUCCUAUGGUAUGGUGGCCAGUGAGUGACUUUCUGACCAGUGGUGUGCAAGAAGGCCAUGUUACAUAAUCUUCAGUAAAUUUGGCCAGUUCCCUAGUAUGUGUCUUUCUAUGGAGUACCACUGGUACAUCAGUGGAAUGGCUUCCUAGCAAGUUUUACUGAAAACACAGCUGAUGGUUUCCUCAGCAGCCCAGUGUGUGACACCUUAAAUUUCUGGAUCAUUAAGUGGACCACAGCCAUAUUAUUUCCAAUGAGCGCCUACUCUCAGGCUUAGUAGGGUAGAGGGUGGGUAGGGGGAAGUUCUUCUCAGUUAUUCCCUCCUUGGGUACUCUCCUAGAGCCUGAGAGAUAGUGGCUGUUCCCAAUAACCACUAUUACUGUAUUAUUUAGUGGGCUUUUUUCCUCUCCUAAUAGUCAAUACCCUUUGACUGGAUCUUAACUGAUAAAAGUGGAACCCUGAGGAAAGCACUAUCCUUGGAGUCAGAAAUUGGGAUCAGACUAUUUUUUUUCUUUCUAUUAUGGUAUUCCUCAUAUUCGCUUUAUUUCUCCACUGCCUUUACCCUUUUUGGAUUUGAUGCUAUGUCAAGAAAAAAUUAUUUCGUCACUGAGCACUCUGAGUGUAGAGCAGAAUGCUAAAUGUUGCAUGCUAUGCCAGAAGAAAAGUAGUUUAGGAAUCCUAAAAUCCAAAGAAAGAAAGAUAUGAAUGCAUUGAGUUCUUAGAAGGGUUAUAUGAGAUAGAUGCUUGUGGCAAGCCUGGUCUCCACCCAGAUCUCCUAGGAUCCCUUUGGUUGAAUCUGAGUAUCCUUCCUCUAGCUUCUGUGUUCUUUUGCUUCUCACAGCCUGCCCUGAGACUCUCUUUGGAGGAAUGCCCAAACACUACUAGACUCACUUUGUCUACUGGCAUAGAGAGCCAGACAGAACCACCUGCAAGUUUACUUCUUUCCCAGGAUGCCCUUUGCCAAGGACUUUCCUAUAGAGUAUAAAAGACCAGCCGUCUUGCCUCUAGUAGCAAGAAAACCUGAGGUGUAAUUUACACCCUGAGGCUCCCCUGUAGAAUUAUAUUGAUGUUAGGAUUUUGCCUGAAACCACCUUCUUCCCUAUCUUGCUUACUGUGGUACCUGAUGAGUUUUUCCUGGUAGCAUUUCUAUAAUAAAUCACUUGCAGACAAUCUUCAUCUCAGGGUUUGAUCCUGGGGAUCCUGACUUAAGACAUUGCUAUUCUUCUUUUUUUUCCUUCUGCAGAUGAGGAAACUGAGGAUCAGGGCUUUUAAAUUGCCCCAAAUCACACUACCAAUAAGAGAUAGAGUCGUGGUACCUUUUUUAGAGGGACCAUUAUUCUGCUGACUAUAGUACUGCAGAGCAUAAAGUUUCUUAUCCACACUGUUUCUCAGUUCAGUCUGUCAAUAUCACUACUCCACGAUUAUUGUGUUUGUUUUUCUUUCUUCCUCAGAAAUCUCUAUCGUGUUGCCAGAGAGACCUUUCUGAAACCUCUCCUUUUUUCUGUGUUUAAAACCCCCCAGUGCCGCCCAUGAAAUACACAGCAAAGUCCAAACUCCUUAUCUUGCUGGGAUCCUCCUUUCCACCCUUUUUAACUGUUCAGCCAUAUUUCUCCAUGUACUUCUGAGACUGGAACCCAGGGCAACAAAGCUAAUGUGUGUUCUCCAAGAUUAACACAACUGAAAGGAGGCCCCUUUAUGUCAUCUAUUCUAGGUCCCUUGGAAUAUAAUUAAAAACAGGAAUUUCAUCGUUGAAAUGUAAUGAUGUUCAGAUAAGGGCAGUGGCUUGAGCCAAUCUCCCACCAUGUCUGGGGACUGGGACAGCUGAGCCAGUGGUCCUACCUAAGGGUCAGGCCUGUGUCUUCACUUCUCCUUUCAACCCUUUACUUCUUCCAGAGUUGAACGGCUUGCUUUCCUUCGCUCACUAGGCCAUUUCAUGGUUUGUGUUUGCCUGAAAUACAACUCUUUCCCUGCCUGGUCUACACCUGCUCACCCUCCAAGAAAUACCUCUGGGCCCACUUUCUUUCUUGGAAGCAUUUUAUGACUCUUAUUUCUGUUACCAACACAGCUUUUAUUUAUGUCUCCAUGUAUCCUUUGAAGAAACACAACUUUCCAGGUUCUAUGUUUUAUUUGCAUUCUUAGUGUCUGGCACAUUGUCUGACACAGUGUAAAAGCUGAGUAGAAUUUUGCCUGACAGCAGAUGUGCCUAAAGUGAGGGUGUCCAAAAUUUCAUUAAAUGACCACUGCUUUAAUAUGAAUUCUUGGCUAAGGCAGGAGAAUCGCUUGAACCCCGGAGGCAGAGGUUGCAGUGAGCCGAGAUCACACCACUGCACUCCAGCCUGGUGACAGAGGGAGAAUCCAUCUCAAAAAAAAAAAAAAAGAAUAUAUAUAUGAAUUCUUACUGCUAGUAUUAAACGAUUAUCUCUUUACACUCAUAGUAAUGUCUUACAAUAACAGAAUGCAGGAGAGCACAUAUAAAUGAAGAAAAGACAAAAUGUACUUACCAUGAAGCUGAGGUUAAGAAACCAGUGUCUUCAAGAGCCGGGGACAGCACUGGGUCUCACAGAGUUGAGAGAUGGUGAUGACAUGUGGUUUCCAGCAUUCCUGGCCCAGUCCGGGGACACUGUGGGUGUGCCCAGCUUAAGUCCAGUAACUGGAAAUACAAGCCCAAGUUCUGGAGAGUUUGAGCUGCAGAGAUAUAUAUGGGGACACUUUGAACCUUGACUCAUUGGCCAUAACCAGCAGAGUGGAAAAUACAAGAAGAGAAAAAAACAUUGAACUGCGAUUUUAUAACGUCCUUUACUAGGCAGAGAGAAGAGGAAAGACCAGGAAAGAAAACUGUAUUACAAUGUGAAAAUGUAAUGUUAAGAAAUUCAGUCAUCUUGGGGUUAGUGAGGAGAAGUUUUAGGGGCUUAGACUCUUCAAAACACAUGUACAGACAUGCAUAUUUCAUCUGAUAUCAAAUGACAUUUAUAGUGCUAAUCUUUACCUCAAGACUUCACAUCUUUUGGUGAUUGCAUCUUUUAGGUUUAUAGCAGUUAAGUUUGCAUGAACGCACCAGGGCUGUUUCAUUUCAGUCAAGAAUUAAUGUUCAUUGAUUGUACUUCUGCAUUUCAUAUAACUACUGUAGAAUUUGUUUUAGUUUUAUGAGGGAAUAAUUGGUCCAACUUCUAUAUAACUCAGGAAUUUACUCUCAAACAACACUGUCAAUUAGUUACUUAUCUCUCUGGAAAUGACCUGGGAACAUGGAGAGGAAAGGGAGGAAGAGGCAAAAUCUGACUACUUAUAAGUAUAUUAGAUAAUUUUGGUGGCCAGAAAGUCCUGAAUGAUGUGACUUUCAUUCUUGUAAAACACCUCUUUGCAUAGAUUUAUGGCCCAAACAGUAUAUAAAGAGUGGAGAAGGAACUGCAUUUGCAAAUAGUUCAAAUCAUUGCUCCAUCUUAACUAUGCAGUUCACAAAGUAUGAAGAAAUUUGAUCAUCUCAAAAAAGAUAAUGGAAAAAAGUAUGUUUUUUUCUGUGACUUUAAAGUCUUACAAUAUUUUACAUAAAUGAUAAUGGGUACUUUAAUAAGAACCCUUGAUACUUUUGUUAUUGUAUUCAAUAUAUGCAUAUAAUACAACAGGAUGAUAUUGUUUUGGAUUUGGAAAUGUAUUCUUUCUUAUGCAAUCUUAUGCGGUCAUACUGCGUGAAUAUCACUACCUGAAUUUAUCUCUAUUUUUGUUGUUGUUGUUGUUUUGCACUCUACUUAUUUGGUGCCUGUCAGUCUUUUAUCAUCAGUUUAUAUUCUACUAAACUCAAAAAGACAAUCUCAUACCUUUUGUAAUUGUAGGCAUUCCUUACUAAAGUUUUAAAUACACUUCAAAAAUUCAAGUACUUUGAUUUCAUGCCAUCAAGUGGCUGAAUCUAUCCCCCUCUCUCUUUUUAAAUUUAAGUGAGUAGUUCAAUUUCUGUUGUUUUCUACUUUGUGAAUUCUAAAUCUUUUAAAACCAUCUUGCCAUUUUUCAUGCACUUACCCUUACAGAAAACUCUAUGAAACACUACUUAUCUCUACUUUUGUUUUUAACUCCUUUUUUAUAUUACUAUUCCCUCUGCUUUCUAAAUGCACAUAUUAAUUUGUUCUUUUUAUUCUCUGUAGCUCUUCUCAAUAUAUGAAUUCAGUUUCCCAUCAAUCCCCAUACAAUUAAAAAAAUAAAUGUUAAGUAUUCUGUUAUUUUAAUAUAUCUAGUGCCCAUAUUCUAAUUCUGCCUCUUAUUUUUAAAAUAAUUUUAUUGUUGAUUUAAAAUGACAACAGUUUCAAUUCCCAGAAAGUGAAAGGAAACAAAGGAAUAAUAUUAUGGGCUUAAUUUUUAUCAGUGAACUUGUAGGUGAAGAAAAGAUUUGGGGAAGGAAAUGAACAUAUUAUAUUGCAAAAUAGUAAGGAACAAUCAGAUGUGUUUUCUAGUCUCUAGAAAAGCAUGUUUCAAGAAAUUCAACGAAAAGUUCAUCAUGCUUGCUUAGAUUGUUGAGAAGCAAAAAUACUGAUGAACAUUUGGAAGCAAUGAGAAUGUAAUUCUAAUCAUACUAUUUUAAUAAUUUUGAAAACUCUCCAAACACUACUCUGUGUGGAUGUCUUUCAGAAUAUGAUGAAUACUAGUAGUCUUAUUCUGCCCUUUUCUCUCUACCACAAUAUAUACAUUGCAUAUUGCACACACAUAUUUUCCAAAUAUUACAUAUAAUUUCAUGUAAUUUAUAGACCUAUUACGGCCCAACCAUUUUCUUGGAUAGGGGAUUCUUUGGAAGUCCAGCUUAAAUAAAGCCCUUAUAGAAAGUUUUUUUUUAAAUUUAUACAUAAUCACCUAAAGUAACCUUAUCUACUGAACUCUUAGUACAUGCUAUCAGAACCUUUUAUCACGUUUCUUCCUGGCUUGUAUUACAACACUGUUGACAUAUCUCAGCCUCACUUCUAGGCUUCUUUGAGAGCAUGACUCAUGUUUGUAUUCCUCACUGAGGUUGAAUGAAUAAGAGAAACUACAGUAGUAGGAAAAAACCGCACAUGUAGAUAUCAGUGAAUAUGAAAGGGUCAAAUGGAUCUAUUAUAGUAAGCACAAAAUCAACUGACACCAGCAAAGUAAACCCAAAAUUUUUAAUGGUAUUUUAAUAGAUCAAGAGGAGCAAGCAGAUUGCUAUCUGGGAAGGUGGUAAAGUUUUGAGAGAGUUGUCUCCUACUUUCUCUAUCACGGGGAGUAAUUUUAAAAGAAAAAUGGAGGGUAAGUUUCUUUAAGGGAAAAUUGUAGCUUAAAACAGGUUAUGGGAUAAUUAGAAAUAAUUUAAUUGUUUUAGCGGAUUUUAAACUUUCAACUGCUUGCAAUUAGAUCCUAAGGCAAUACAAGAAUCAGGAGGUUUGGAAAACCAUUGUCUGUAAUCUCUGAAGAAAAGUGGACAUCAGACGAGUCAGUUGAAAAGCAAAGCUAUCACCAUUUUCUAAAGAGGAAAAAGGUGAACCUCACAAACUAUAGACCAAAAAAAUAGGACAUCGAGAGAAAGAAUAUGAAGCUAGCAUAGGUUCACGAAGAAUGAGUCAAAUCAAACAACAUGCAUUUUUUAUUUAUAAAGCAUGACUUGUUCAUUGUCAAUUCGUGUUAGCCUAAUGAUUAGGCAUUAAUGUCAUCACUGCAAUGCAUAUGUCAGCAAUAAAUAAUCAAACACCAGGCUUCCAUCAUUCUGUUUAAUAUCUUCGAGUAAUGCUUAAGUUUGCAAAUGCUCUUUUAACACAUUCUGCAUAUGCAGCCUGCCCAGCACUGCACACAAUAGACCUGUUACUUCCCCUUCACGAGCACUCCUAAUAUUUCAUGUGCUCAUCCAAUUGACUUCUCCCACUGGUGCCUCAUAUUGAAUUUGUAGAAUCACACCUGCUCCUUUUUCAGAACUCUUCUGAGUUUUUUCUUAAAUAAUUCACUGACCCCAAAGUGUCAGAUAUUUGAAGACUACUUGCACAAUUUUAAUAUUAUAAAUGUAUAAUGUAAAUGUAAUCAAGAUUUGUAUAAUGUACAAUGUACUUUGGUAAAUAAAAGCUGUGAAUACAUAUGAUACAAUUCAAAA
This is a long non-coding RNA of Nomascus leucogenys (northern white-cheeked gibbon), 7045 nucleotides long. RefSeq lists it as uncharacterized. The transcript is spliced from 3 exons. NCBI's taxonomy places the organism in Eukaryota, Metazoa, Chordata, Mammalia, Primates, Hylobatidae. The record is from RefSeq and is a predicted model, not a curated record.